RNAcentral lists this ribosomal RNA (640 nucleotides) under uncultured bacterium. RNAcentral's name for it is "bacterial SSU rRNA". It matches the Rfam family "Bacterial small subunit ribosomal RNA", at positions 54 to 692 of the family's 1533-position model. The record is from RNAcentral.
CAUGCAAGUCGAACGAAGCACUUUACCUGAUUUCCUUCGGGGAUGAUUGUUCUGUGACUGAGUGGCGGACGGGUGAGUAACGCGUGGAUAACCUGCCUCACACAGGGGGAUAACAGUUGGAAACGGCUGCUAAUACCGCAUAAGCGCACAGCACCGCAUGGUGCAGUGUGAAAAACUCCGGUGGUGUGAGAUGGAUCCGCGUCUGAUUAGCUUGUUGGCGGGGUAACGGCCCACCAAGGCGACGAUCAGUAGCCGGCCUGAGAGGGCGACCGGCCACAUUGGGACUGAGACACGGCCCAGACUCCUACGGGAGGCAGCAGUGGGGAAUAUUGCACAAUGGGGGAAACCCUGAUGCAGCGACGCCGCGUGAGCGAUGAAGUAUUUCGGUAUGUAAAGCUCUAUCAGCAGGGAAGAUAAUGACGGUACCUGACUAAGAAGCUCCGGCUAAAUACGUGCCAGCAGCCGCGGUAAUACGUAUGGAGCAAGCGUUAUCCGGAUUUACUGGGUGUAAAGGGAGCGUAGGCGGUCCUGCAAGUCUGAUGUGAAAGGCCGGGGCUCAACCCCGGGACUGCAUUGGAAACUGUAGGACUAGAGUGUCGGAGGGGUAAGUGGAAUUCCUAGUGUAGCGGUGAAAUGCGUA